RNAcentral lists this long non-coding RNA (1489 nucleotides) under Homo sapiens (human). RNAcentral describes it as "HSALNT0381768". The record is from RNAcentral. Lineage: Eukaryota; Metazoa; Chordata; Mammalia; Primates; Hominidae.
GAUGGUGUCUCUGCUGCCCGGGCUGGAGUACAGUGGCAUGAUCUUGGCUCACUGCAACUUUAUAAUAACUUCAUAUGGGAUUUGACCUCAAUACUUUUCUGUUGCUUAUUUCUACGUAGGAUUAGUUUUCCUGAACUCUUAGAAUGAGUUGGGAUUUAAGAUGGCUUUUUAAACUCCAUAGACUCCCUCCCUCUGUUUUUUUUUGUGUGUAAUGUUAAAAAAAAGUCGUUUUCCAGUUUGUUCCCCUUCCCAACUUUUGUCUUGGUAUUCUCUUUCCUUUCCAUCUUUCCUUUCUGUUGUCCCUAUCCAGUUCAAUUUUUUUUUCUGCCCCCAGUAGUUUUUCUCAGUGUAGGGGCUUUGUCCUGGAAAGGAAUCCUGUAGAUGAGCAAUUCUGACUCCCUUGGCCCCACUAUCCUCCUUUAUCUCCAGCAAAAUUCCAGACCUUUUAUUAGGGACUGGCAGCUGUCCUCAGAUACUGUCCUCAUGUUCACUGGAAAAUAUUUGUCUAACACACAUAUUAUUCUAUUGUUUGGAUACUAUUUAAAGUAUCUGACCAAGAUGACCCUAUCCUCUCCCAUUUCAUGUGCUAGCAAACUAAUAUGUUGACUUCUUAAAUUUCUUUUAUCGUUUUGCUUGAUUCAGCAAAACCAAAAAACUAAAAGGCAGAAAACAAAUUGAUAGUCACUGUAGUCAGUUAAUAUCUUUAUUGUAUUGAGUUCAUACAAGUCAAUUUAAAAAUCUAUUAAGUUCUAAUAAAUAAGUGAACAGAAGUUCACGUCACAAAAUAUAGUAAACAAAUAGAUGGAAAAACUUUAGUUUUGCUAACAAUAAAGAAAUGUGAAGUUAAGAUAAGGGCAUCUUCCUUUUUCCUCAUUUAUGUUUGCCAAAAAAUUUAAAAGCAUGAUACUUAUUAUGAGUAUGGAUUCAGUGAAAUUGGUACUGGGAUGGCCACUCUGGGUCCUAUGCUUUUGGCAGGCAGCCUGGUGUUUUAAAAAGGCUUUUGAAUGGCAACAGACUUUACCAUUAUAUUCUACAGAAAUGGUAAAUAAGCCAUGAUUUUUAUUUUAUAUAUUCAGAUAUACGUGUGAAUGUUAAUUGCUUUGUGCCUUCGCUGUUUUUAGAACAGCCUUCUUUCAUACCUUACUGGUGAUGUAUUAAUAGCACCAUUUUGGAAUGCAGUUUGGUAUAGUAUGUUUCAAGAAUCAUAGGAUUCUUGUCUUUUUUUGAAUUCCGAGUCCCAUUUCUGAGAUUCUCUACUAAGGAAGUAAUAAAAAGUAUAGUAACAACUAUAUCCUUAAAAAUGGCCUAUAUAACAAAUAAAUAGACUCUAAAUGCCCUAUUAAAGGAAAGUGGAGCCAGGUAUGAUUACUUGCAUGCCUGUAAUCUCAGCUACUUGGGGGGCUGAGGUGGGAGGAUUGCUUGAACCCAGGAGUUUGAGUCUAGUCUGUGUAAGAUAAUGAGACCCCAUCUAUUUAAAAAAAAAGUUGGG